GUGGGGAAUAUUGGACAAUGGGCGAAAGCCUGAUCCAGCCAUGCCGCGUGUGUGAAGAAGGUCUUCGGAUUGUAAAGCACUUUAAGUUGGGAGGAAGGGCAGUAAGUUAAUACCUUGCUGUUUUGACGUUACCGACAGAAUAAGCACCGGCUAACUUCGUGUCAGCAGCCGCGGUAAUACGAAGGGUGCAAGCGUUAAUCGGAAUUACUGGGCGUAAAGCGCGCGUAGGUGGUUUUGUAAGUUGGAGGUGAAAUCCCCGGGCUCAACCUGGGAACUGCCUCCAAAACUGCAUGACUAGAGUACGGUAGAGGGUAGUGGAAUUUCCUGUGUAGCGGUGAAAUGCGUAGAUAUAGGAAGGAACACCAGUGGCGAAGGCGACUACCUGGACUGAUACUGACACUGAGGUGCGAAAGCGUGGGGAGCAAACAGGAUUAGAUACCCUAGUAGUCC
This 450-nucleotide ribosomal RNA is filed under the name uncultured bacterium. RNAcentral describes it as "partial 16S ribosomal RNA". It matches the Rfam family "Bacterial small subunit ribosomal RNA", at positions 354 to 796 of the family's 1533-position model. The record is from RNAcentral.